CUGAUACAUUCCUUCUGGCUAAGUUUACACACACACACACACACACACUUUCUUUCUGACAAUGUUAAACCAGAAAGGCUUCCUUUUAGAUUACUGUGACUUUUCCUUUUAUUCAAUUUUGUGAUAAGCCACAUGCCCUCCAGUGCUAACUAACCUUUACUGCACAACUUCAUGUUUGACAUCAAGCCCAAAGUAUUUAGAACUGAUGAAGCUUUCCAAACACACCUUGACAGUUACCAUUUGCAGUGUGCAAUCCAGAUGGCCUGUUUUAUUCUUUGUUAUUGAUUUAUGAACAGUUCUUCAUGCUAUAGAUAAUUUGUUACUAAGCCAAACAUGAGCGUCAUAAAGACUUGUGUGUUUUGUAUUUGCUGAGCCAGUUUUGUAUUUGUUUGAAUCUAAAUAAACUGUUUCUUACAUUAAAAACCA
RNAcentral lists this long non-coding RNA (426 nucleotides) under Salvator merianae (Argentine black and white tegu). RNAcentral describes it as "lncRNA (ENSSMRG00000006651.1)". Lineage: Eukaryota; Metazoa; Chordata; Lepidosauria; Squamata; Teiidae. The record is from RNAcentral.